UCUACAUUGUGAUCAAUCAGA
RNAcentral lists this non-coding RNA (21 nucleotides) under Caenorhabditis elegans. The record is from RNAcentral. Lineage: Eukaryota; Metazoa; Nematoda; Chromadorea; Rhabditida; Rhabditidae.